CACUAAACGACAUUUUCGAACGCAGUUGGCUUAGAUGCAGCUGGAAAGACGACCAUACUCUACAAACUGAAGCUGGGAGAAAUUGUGACAACCAUUCCUACCAUCGGUUUCAACGUAGAAACCGUGGAAUAUAAAAACAUAUGUUUUACUGUUUGGGAUGUCGGUGGUCAGGAUAAAAUUCGACCAUUGUGGCGCCACUACUUUCAAAACACGCAAGGUUUAAUUUUUGUCGUGGACUCUAACGACCGUGAUCGUAUAAAUGAAGCUGAAAAGGAACUUCAGAAUAUGGUAUUUGCCUUAUCUUUUAAACUGUUCAAUAGGUUUAUCCACUAACUAAUUUUCUGUAUUCAUUCUAGCUUCAAGAAGAUGAGCUUAAAGAUGCUGUGCUCUUAGUUUUUGCUAAUAAACAGGAUCUACCGAAUGCAAUGACUGCCGCGGAACUUACAGACAAGUUGCGGCUGAACCAAUUAAGAAACCGCCACGUACAUAUUUAUUUUUUUUAACAUGUUAAUAGUACUUAAUUAAUACUCCGUUUUUUGCAGUGGUUUAUUCAAGCAACUUGCGCCACUCAAGGUCAUGGACUAUAUGAAGGACUUGAUUGGCUCUCCGCUGAGUUGGCAAAGAAAUGAAUGAUUAAAGAACAUAAAAUCUAACAAAGGAAUUCGUUUUGUCCUACGCUGAAAAUAAUUGAUUAGAUCCUUAAUAAAUAUGUAAAUGUAUAUAAA
Molecule: long non-coding RNA, 725 nt
Filed under: Drosophila guanche
Lineage: Eukaryota; Metazoa; Arthropoda; Insecta; Diptera; Drosophilidae
Source: RNAcentral